GGGGGUAUGGCGGAAUGGUAGACGCUACGGACUUAAAAUCCGUUGACCGGUAAGGUCGUGAGGGUUCAAGUCCCCCCAUCCCCA
RNAcentral lists this transfer RNA (84 nucleotides) under Acaryochloris marina. Its description in RNAcentral is "tRNA-Leu". It matches the Rfam family "tRNA". From Rfam's summary of the family: Transfer RNA (tRNA) molecules are approximately 80 nucleotides in length. Their secondary structure includes four short double-helical elements and three loops (D, anti-codon, and T loops). Lineage: Bacteria; Bacillati; Cyanobacteriota; Cyanophyceae; Acaryochloridales; Acaryochloridaceae. The record is from RNAcentral.